GGUUUCCGUAGGUGAACCUGCGGAAGGAUCAUUAACGAUUGCUAACAUAUAUGCAAAGACAAAAACGUUCUGAUUUUCGAUUAUUGGCUUUUGAAAACUCCUGACGAGAUCAGGAAGGACGUUGCCCUGUGUGACGGCCAUCGUGGUCGUUGUGCUUUUGCGCUUCGAACGAUGUAAAACAAACAACCUAUGGCCUCUCAUACAGUAUAAUAUCUUUCGCCAUGGUAUACAGGCCUGGCAUCUGGUACGAGUCUCUCGCAGUCUCAAAACCAACCUUACAACUCUGAGCGGUGGAUCACUUGGCUUGUGGAUGCUAUGAAGACCAUAGCUAAGUGUGAGAAUGGCAGCGAGCCGUCGCUAUAUGCGCUGUCCUCUUCUUAUCACAUGUCGAAUGCACAUUGCGCCCCACCCAGUGGUUGGCUAAACAACCUGCAGACAAAAGCCUGUUUAGUUGGAACAAAGGCGAGUGUGUGGCCCUCGAGCAACGGCGGGGGAGCCAGGAGCACAUGAGCGUGCGGACCUUCUACUCGUGAGUAGUCAGGCUGACCCUAUGGUGGGGCACUCCUAGUCGAGUGUGGUGGAUCGGACUCAUAUCUCUUGUUGUGCUUUGCGCGAUGGAGUUUGAGUUUCUUUGUUGCUGGUGGCAUUUGGGUCGACAUCAGUCGUGCCCGUAAACAACUGCCUUGGCUCGUGCCUCUGUACGUAAUGCCGUCUCUCGCGGGCGGUGUGGCAUCUCUCGCAGGUGUCCCUCACGCAGGAGCGUACAUUGAAGGCCAUAGCUGGCGAUCACUCGUGCGGCCAGGGCACUACCUUUUCUGGUAGGGCGCAAAGGUCCAAAAGGAUAAUGGUAAUACACGAGAGUCGGGUUUCUGGUACUCUAGCCCGCUUGUAUCCGGUGAGUGUCGUGGUGAUUUGGAUAUAUCCGAUAUGCAUUCUGGCAAAGGCUCGUCUCUCUCGUAGUAUUCGAGAAUGACAAACGCCUCACUUCUUUUGUUCACACACGCAUGCUGACAGACCAAGAAACGCCUGACGAGAUCAGGAAGGAUUUUCUAACAGUGUGAAAAAAGUAACAGAUAUGAUUACGGGCGCCGCUCCACUUCAUGCUUGAGCCGAGAUGCAACCGUUGGCACAUGAGAGAGACCUGGCUGCUCGUGUAAGCCACCACCUCGACUUAGGAGAGGCUACCCGCUGAACUUAAGCAUAUCAGUAAGCGGAGGAAAAGAAACCAAUCAGGGAUUCCCUUAGUAGGGGCGACCGAACAGGGAUGAGCCCAGCGCAGAACCUCCCGGGCCACCCGGCCUGCGGCGGAAUGUUGCGUUAAGGGAAAGGUCGUAGUCAAACCCCACAGCCACGCGAGCUCUAAGUUAGUCACGAAUUGGCUACCCCAACUAACGGCGGGAUAAUCUCCACGGAGGGUGUAAGACCCGUGUGGGCGCGUGUAAAUGCUGUGUGGGCUCGGCCUCUUUUCCCUGAGAGUCGCGUUGCUUGAGCAUGCAGCGCUAAGCAGGUCGUAAACUCGAUCUAAGGCUAAAUAUGUCCACAAGACCGAUAGCGAACAAGUACCGUGAGGGAAAGUUGAAAAGCACUCUGAAGAGAGAGUCAAAAGACC
RNAcentral lists this ribosomal RNA (1609 nucleotides) under Niphargus frasassianus. RNAcentral describes it as "eukaryotic LSU rRNA". The stretch from base 1162 to 1609 matches the Rfam family "Eukaryotic large subunit ribosomal RNA", at positions 1 to 398 of the family's 3401-position model. The record is from RNAcentral. Lineage: Eukaryota; Metazoa; Arthropoda; Malacostraca; Amphipoda; Niphargidae.